Molecule: ribosomal RNA, 272 nt
Filed under: uncultured bacterium
Lineage: Bacteria
Description: partial small subunit ribosomal RNA
Rfam family: Bacterial small subunit ribosomal RNA
Source: RNAcentral
AGAAUCAACGCUGGCGGCGUGCCUAACACAUGCAAGUCGAACGCGAAAGUCCCGCAAGGGAUGAGUAGAGUGGCAAACGGGUGAGUAACACGUGGGUGACCUGCCUUCGAGCGGGGGAUAACGUCCCGAAAGGGACGCUAAUACCGCAUGACAUCCUGCCUUUGAAGAGGUGGAGAUCAAAGCUGGGGAUCGCAAGACCUAGCACUCGAAGAGGGGCCCGCGCCUGAUUAGCUAGUUGGUGGGGUAAUGGCUCACCAAGGCGACGAUCAGUA